CGCCUUGCCAGCCCGCUCAGAAACUCAAAGGAAUUGACGGGGGCCCGGCACAAGCGGUGGAGUAUGUGGUUUAAUUCGAUGCAACGCGAGAACCUUACCUGGUCUUGACAUCCCGGAGACCCUUAGGAAACUAGGGGGUGCUUCCAUCUGGAAGAAUCUGGAGACAGGUGCUGCAUGGCUGUCGUCAGCUCGUGUCGUGAGAUGUUGGGUUAAGUCCCGCAACGAGCGCAACCCUUGCCUUUAGUUGCCAGCAGUUCGGCUGGGCACUCUAAAGGGACUGCCGGUGUUAAACCGGAGGAAGGUGGGGAUGACGUCAAGUCCUCAUGGCCUUUAUGACCAGGGCUACACACGUACUACAAUGGCCGAUACAAAGGGCAGCGACACUGCGAGGUGAAGCCAAUCCCGUAAAAUCGGUCUCAGUCCGGAUUGGAGUCUGCAACUCGACUCCAUGAAGUUGGAAUCGCUAGUAAUCGUGGAUCAGCAUGCCACGGUGAAUACGUUCCCGGGCCUU
Molecule: ribosomal RNA, 511 nt
Filed under: uncultured Desulfobulbus sp.
Lineage: Bacteria; Pseudomonadati; Thermodesulfobacteriota; Desulfobulbia; Desulfobulbales; Desulfobulbaceae
Description: bacterial SSU rRNA
Rfam family: Bacterial small subunit ribosomal RNA
Source: RNAcentral